This 1329-nucleotide ribosomal RNA is filed under the name human gut metagenome. RNAcentral describes it as "bacterial SSU rRNA". It matches the Rfam family "Bacterial small subunit ribosomal RNA", at positions 8 to 1321 of the family's 1533-position model. The record is from RNAcentral.
AGAGUUUGAUCCUGGCUCAGGACGAACGCUGGCGGCGUGCCUAAUACAUGCAAGUAGAACGCUGAAGAGAGGAGCUUGCUCUUCUUGGAUGAGUUGCGAACGGGUGAGUAACGCGUAGGUAACCUGCCUUGUAGCGGGGGAUAACUAUUGGAAACGAUAGCUAAUACCGCAUAACAAUGGAUGACACAUGUCAUUUAUUUGAAAGGGGCAAUUGCUCCACUACAAGAUGGACCUGCGUUGUAUUAGCUAGUAGGUGAGGUAACGGCUCACCUAGGCGACGAUACAUAGCCGACCUGAGAGGGUGAUCGGCCACACUGGGACUGAGACACGGCCCAGACUCCUACGGGAGGCAGCAGUAGGGAAUCUUCGGCAAUGGGGGCAACCCUGACCGAGCAACGCCGCGUGAGUGAAGAAGGUUUUCGGAUCGUAAAGCUCUGUUGUAAGUCAAGAACGAGUGUGAGAGUGGAAAGUUCACACUGUGACGGUAGCUUACCAGAAAGGGACGGCUAACUACGUGCCAGCAGCCGCGGUAAUACGUAGGUCCCGAGCGUUGUCCGGAUUUAUUGGGCGUAAAGCGAGCGCAGGCGGUUUGAUAAGUCUGAAGUUAAAGGCUGUGGCUCAACCAUAGUUCGCUUUGGAAACUGUCAAACUUGAGUGCAGAAGGGGAGAGUGGAAUUCCAUGUGUAGCGGUGAAAUGCGUAGAUAUAUGGAGGAACACCGGUGGCGAAAGCGGCUCUCUGGUCUGUAACUGACGCUGAGGCUCGAAAGCGUGGGGAGCGAACAGGAUUAGAUACCCUGGUAGUCCACGCCGUAAACGAUGAGUGCUAGGUGUUGGAUCCUUUCCGGGAUUCAGUGCCGCAGCUAACGCAUUAAGCACUCCGCCUGGGGAGUACGACCGCAAGGUUGAAACUCAAAGGAAUUGACGGGGGCCCGCACAAGCGGUGGAGCAUGUGGUUUAAUUCGAAGCAACGCGAAGAACCUUACCAGGUCUUGACAUCCCGAUGCUAUUUCUAGAGAUAGAAAGUUACUUCGGUACAUCGGUGACAGGUGGUGCAUGGUUGUCGUCAGCUCGUGUCGUGAGAUGUUGGGUUAAGUCCCGCAACGAGCGCAACCCCUAUUGUUAGUUGCCAUCAUUCAGUUGGGCACUCUAGCGAGACUGCCGGUAAUAAACCGGAGGAAGGUGGGGAUGACGUCAAAUCAUCAUGCCCCUUAUGACCUGGGCUACACACGUGCUACAAUGGUUGGUACAACGAGUUGCGAGUCGGUGACGGCAAGCUAAUCUCUUAAAGCCAAUCUCAGUUCGGAUUGUAGGCUGCAACUCGCCUACAU